RNAcentral lists this long non-coding RNA (713 nucleotides) under Homo sapiens (human). RNAcentral's name for it is "HSALNT0354101". Lineage: Eukaryota; Metazoa; Chordata; Mammalia; Primates; Hominidae. The record is from RNAcentral.
AGUAGCUGUGAUUACAAACGUGCCACUAUACCCGGAGCUUAUGGUCUUUUCUUAACAUUUCUUGAUGACGAGGAUGGGAUUUGAAGUGGCACCCUUGCUUUUUCCCAACACUAUCUGGACCAAUGCAUUUGCACCUGCAAGAACCCCUUGAGCUCACUUAUCUUCCUGGCUGCACCAGGGAGAAAUGAGAACCUGAAGACCGAAUCCUCUGAGAACAACAGAGAUACUUUCUUGCCAUGUACACUCCAGCAAAAACUUCGGGACCUUGAACUUUGGGUUCAUAAUCUCACAACUGAGAAGGAUUACUCCACACUCAUAGAACUGCACACCCAUUGGAACCCUUAAGGUGAAGCUAACCAGGGAAUUUUCUCCCCAGAAGAAGAAGAUAUUCUUGAUAUGAACAGCUUUUCCCAAAAUCAUGGAUCAAGAUUUCUACUAUUAUAAGACUCUUAUCUUUGAAUAUUUUUCCCUUGCUUAUACCUCUAUGAACAAUAGAAGUGAAAAGAGGGUCUAUUUUGUGCACAUAUGGGUAUACCUUUAUUUGUGAAUAAUUUUGCAGCCAGCCUUAUACAUAGAUAAACUUAUAUCUUGAUAGAUGAAAGAUGAAGGUGCAAUGUAGGUGAGAAACCUUAAUGGUAUAUACAGUGUCACAUAGUUAGAAACAGAACAUUGGUUCACUCCUCCUAACCCACAUCAUGAGUUAAAGAGAACAU